UUUAAAAUUUUACUCUUUCCUUUAAAUAUUUUAAGCAGCACAACAUGCAUUCAUAACCCCAACCCUAACACAAUCUCUCCAAUUUCAUAUCACUGAUGCGUGCAUUCUGCGUUUCUCUCUACUCCGACGUGUUCUUCUGCUAGUUUUCUUCUGCUAGUUCUGCGUGUUGUUCUACUCGCGUUUUUCUGCUCGCGUCAAGGUUUGUUCUACCUCCGCUAUGUUCUUUUGCUCGCACCUUGUUCUUCGUUCUCUCGCGCUGAGUUUUGCUCUACUCCUCCAUGUUCUAAAUUGGGAGAAGUAGCUACUGAUGCAAAGAUAGUGAAAAAUGUGACCGUUUUUCUUUUCCUUAAUGUUUCGGAAGUUUAUAUAACUCAAUUAGAUUACAGAAAGGUCAUCUGCAGAUAAAUGUAAGUAUGUUCCUUUUGUCUUUAAACAUGUGAUUUAAUUUAAAGUUUAAGAUAUUGGAAGAAUAAAUUCUCAAUUGCUACUAUUUUACCGCAGAGUUGUUAAGCAAGAAAUAUGAGGAGAAGUACAAAUAUUGUAGCAGAAAUAACAUCCAAAUUAAUUGUUGAAGAAACUAAAUUUCAUGUUAUACAGGUGUUCUUGCGUGAAUAAUCGAUUCCAAGGUAUAGCUUGUUUUUUUUAUGUUCGGACUCGCUCUUCUUACGUCGGUCUUCUUCAAGAACGGAAAGUUAGUAAAAGUAGAAGAUAAAUAUCAAAUUACUCAGAAUGAAUAGUAUACUUGUGACUUAAUUAGUGAGUCACUUGUAUUUAUAAAGUUGUGUUUAGGACGGUUAUAAGCUUUAGCUAAUGGACCUUGUUUAGAGAGAUUUCUGUGUCCAUCUGAAUUGUAGUUAUUUGAUUUUAUAGGAUAAGUCACGUAGUUAUUUGAAUUUACAGGAUAAGUCCAUUAAGAGAACAAAAUACGUACUCUCCACGUACUCUUGAUAUAACACGUUGUUAAAUAUAUAUUAAGGAAAAUUAGGAAAAAUUUUGUAUUUAGAGGGAAAAUUAAUUACCCUUCCAUUGCGGAAUUUAGACACAAGCAUCACAAAUUCUUUCACUUUUAGAUAUGAGUCGCCAAUUCACCAUGUAAUUUGGACAAUAUUUAAUAAAAUUUAGCAUUGCAAAAAAAAAUUUAUACAAAUUUUUUUUAUAAAGUAAAUUAUUGUUUACCUCUAUCAAUCCUCUAAUACUAUAGAAAGGAGUGCCAUGAACAAUUUCAGUAGAGAGCUUAUCUGGCCCAUGUUCUUUUACGAAUUUCUCCCUAGCUUUUGCAUUGUUAGUAUUAUGAAUAUUGGUUAAAAAAUCCACUGUUAACCUUUCUCUAUUUUUUGUCCCUAUUACCAAUCUACUGUCCCUAAUAUUACACCAGUACAAUUUGCCGCGGACCAUGAGUGACUAUGAGUCCAACCAGGCAGUUAGUUCCGCAUGCCAUUAAUUAGGGGUUUUUCCCUCUCUUCAUUACAUAAGCGGUAAACUCCCGCUGCACCUCUUCAAUACAGUGUUUAAGGGUAAACUCAGAAACAAAACCCUCUGGCUUAACAUCCCCUAAAAAACAACAUAAGGAACAAAGAACUAUUUUAUUUGAAAAGAUUAUUGCCAUGCAAGCAAUAAACACGUAUACUUGGAAACUAAUUUUUCAAGAAACCACUAGAAUCUUGAUUAUCGCUGGAAUCUUUAUGUUUCUAAUAAUGCAGGAUGACGCCACUAUUUUGAUUAUCCAAAAAAAUACAAGCAAAAAUCUAAUAAAGAAAAAAAAAAAAGAAAAUAAGUCUAUUAGGAUAAGUCACGUAAUUAUUUGAUUUUAUAGGAUAAGUCUGUUAGGAAACCAAAACACAUACUUUUCAUGUACUCCUGAUAUAAUACGUGUGUAUUUAGUUUUAACUAGAUUCUGAUUUAUAAUUUUAACUAAGCCGAAUUAUAGCUAACAGACGGAUCAACUGGUAAUUAAAAAUUUGCAUUAUUAUUUGGCAAAUAGUAAAUUAAGCCUUGCUUCAUGAAUGGUUUAUUUUAAUUAUAAUUAAUUUGGUCUUUCUGUUACUACUCGCCUUGUUGUGCUCUCUUCGUGUUCCUCUCUACUCAUGGUUCGUCGUGCUAGUUUGCACUGUGUUGGUUAUUUCUCUCUGCAUUUUGCCAGAAAAUUGCAUAGUACAAGAUCUGAUUUUGUUCUGCAUUUGAUCUGCAACCAAACUUGUUUCGUUUCAUUAGGGAGGAAAUCAAUCACAGGAAGCUUCAUUGGGAGCAUGAAGGAGACAGAGGAGAUGCUGCAAUUUUGGAAGGAGAAGGGACUGAGUUCGAUGAUUGAGAUUGUGAACAUGGAUUAUAUCAACACAGCAGUGGAAAGACCGGAGAAGAACGAUGUGAAAUACAGGUUUGUUGUGGAUGUUAAAGGAAGCAAGCUUGAUCAGUGACAUUAUUACUAUUAUACCAACUAAACAAGUUUGAUGAAGAAGAUUAUAUAUGGGGUGGUAGCAUAAACCCAAUUAAGUAGUUUCUUUGUGUUUUGUUAAUUCAUGAUUGCUCUGUUUCCUCUGUUCAAAGCUAUUAUUAUUUUGUAAUUGGAGUCUUCUUGAUGAAUGAAUAUUGAAAAUGAUUUUCAUUUUCCAUCCGUUUAAAGUAGAAAAGAAAAGAUUAUUGAUUAGGGUAGUGGCUCACCAACUUGCAUUGAGAGGCGUGGCAGAGUGUAAGUCGUUGAGUGACACCACCCACCUAAUAUUUGGGGUGAUCCUAUUUGUGACACAUUUUGCACUAAAUGGCAUUUUCCGAGUUCUAGUUCUUGGAUGGAUUUGUGUCUUCAUUUCGGUCACUAUUUUUGCAGCACCUCUAAGCAUUGUGGUCAAUGAUUAAUUAUCAUUUAAUUUCAUUAAUUUCUUAAUAUCAUACUUGUUAUUAGCUUUGUGAUUAGUUAUUAUUGUACGUGGUGCAGGCACAUGUUAUAAGAACAGAGAGUGUUCAAUUUAUGUCAUUUAAUUUGUCAUUUUCCGUCACAUUAAGUGCGGUUAUGUGGUUUGCAUAUAGUUUAUUUCUCAGUGAUAUAUGUAUUGCCGUAAGUACACCAACUUUAUCAGUUUGAAUAUAAAGUUAAAGAAUUUGAAAGCGACUUUACUUAUUAAUUGAGUAAUUAAUUGUCAACUAUCAAACGUGUUGGGUUUUGCACUUGGGGUACUUCAGAUGCUGCUAUAUGCCAUAUACAGAAAUGCUGCUAUAUACCAUAUAAAAAGCUUACUAUUUGGGACACAGGUUUCCUUACAAAAACAAGAAUCAUGGACAUAAGCAACUGGUGGAAAGACGAGGUUGAACGGCAAAACAAUGUAGAAAGAUAUGAUGUGUUGAAAGAGAAGAAGAAUCAAAAAGUAAAGUUGAUGAUGAUCCUGAAGCCUUCAAGUGUUAACAAAACAUCUGUGCUAUGAUCUCUCAUCAAUUGAAAAGAAAGUUUGGGUCAUAAGGUAGAACUUAUUCAAGAUCAGUUUGAUAAAGAUCCUUGGGAGAAUGGUUCUAAGGAUGAGAAUGGUUCCAAAAUGCUUGUCGUAUUUAGCUUUUUUUUUUUGAAUACAAGUAUUUUGUUAAGGAUCUUUUAUUUAAUUAA
Arachis stenosperma is the source of this 3589-nucleotide RNA transcript. It is a transcript of the gene named cinnamyl alcohol dehydrogenase 1-like, with no coding region annotated. Lineage: Eukaryota; Viridiplantae; Streptophyta; Magnoliopsida; Fabales; Fabaceae. The record is from RefSeq and is a predicted model, not a curated record. The transcript is spliced from 3 exons.